RNAcentral lists this transfer RNA (539 nucleotides) under uncultured Prochlorococcus sp. Its description in RNAcentral is "partial 16S-23S ribosomal RNA intergenic spacer". The stretch from base 212 to 284 matches the Rfam family "tRNA". Lineage: Bacteria; Bacillati; Cyanobacteriota; Cyanophyceae; Synechococcales; Prochlorococcaceae. The record is from RNAcentral.
CAGGGAGACAACAAAAUGUUUAAUAUUAUUAUUUUGUCACCUUAGGUCGAUCGGUACCUCACGUUCUUAAUUUAUUAAGAAUUUCAUUUCCUAAGUUUUUCUAGGUCACACCCAUUAUUUUUCCUGGGCCAUUAGCUCAGGUGGUUAGAGCGCACCCCUGAUAAGGGUGAGGUCCCUGGUUCAAGUCCAGGAUGGCCCAUAUCUCUAUGUUGGGGGUAUAGCUCAGUUGGUAGAGCGCCUGCUUUGCAAGCAGGAUGUCAGCGGUUCGAGUCCGCUUACCUCCACUGAUUACCACCUCUUCCAUAAUUUGUAGAAAGGAAAUUUUUUGAGUUGUGAUCAAAUUCCGAACGAAUCUAGCUUCCUAAUGAAAUCAUUAAGAUGCUGGACUCAUUGAAUUAAUUUCAUUGUUUUCAGAGAACCUUGACAACUGCAUAGAUUAUUUUAAAGACAAUAAGCAUCUUUAAUGAUGCAGAUUUAUUAUUUGUGCGAAUGCAUUAAUAACAAUUCUAUUAAGCUGAUGCUUCAAUUUUGAAGUUAUU